RNAcentral lists this ribosomal RNA (491 nucleotides) under uncultured bacterium. RNAcentral's name for it is "partial 16S ribosomal RNA". It matches the Rfam family "Bacterial small subunit ribosomal RNA", at positions 355 to 861 of the family's 1533-position model. The record is from RNAcentral.
UGGGGAAUAUUGGACAAUGGGGGCAACCCUGAUCCAGCAAUGCCGCGUGUGUGAAGAAGGUCUUCGGAUUGUAAAGCACUUUCGACGGGGACGAUGAUGACGGUACCCGUAGAAGAAGCCCCGGCUAACUUCGUGCCAGCAGCCGCGGUAAUACGAAGGGGGCUAGCGUUGCUCGGAAUGACUGGGCGUAAAGGGCGUGUAGGCGGUUUACACAGUCAGAUGUGAAAUCCCCGGGCUUAACCUGGGAGCUGCAUUUGAUACGUGUAGACUAGAGUGUGAGAGAGGGUUGUGGAAUUCCCAGUGUAGAGGUGAAAUUCGUAGAUAUUGGGAAGAACACCGGUGGCGAAGGCGGCAACCUGGCUCAUGACUGACGCUGAGGCGCGAAAAGCGUGGGGAGCAAACAGGAUUAGAUACCCUGGUAGUCCACGCUGUAAAACGAUGUGUGCUAGAUGUUGGGUAACUUUGUUAUUCAGUGUCGCAGUUAACGCGUU